Molecule: ribosomal RNA, 1020 nt
Filed under: uncultured archaeon
Lineage: Archaea
Description: bacterial SSU rRNA
Rfam family: Archaeal small subunit ribosomal RNA
Source: RNAcentral
ACGGGGCGCAGCAGGCGCGAACACUGUGCAAUGCGCGAAAGCGCGACACGGGGAGCUUGAGUGUCUUGGCAUAGCCAAGACUUUUCUCAUUCCUAAAAAGCAUGAGGAAUAAGUGCUGGGUAAGACGGGUGCCAGCCGCCGCGGUAACACCCGCAGCACGAGUAGUGGUCACUUUUAUUGAGCCUAAAGCGUUCGUAGCCGGUUUUGUAAAUCUUCAGAUAAAGCCUGAAGCUUAACUCCAGAAAGUCUGAAGAGACUGCAAGACUUGAGAUCGGGUGAGGUUAAACGUACUUUCAGGGUAGGGGUAAAAUCCUGUAAUCCCGGAAGGACGACCAGUGGCGAAAGCGUUUAACUAGAACGAAUCUGACGGUAAGGAACGAAGGCUAGGGUAGCAAACCGGAUUAGAUACCCGGGUAGUCCUAGCUGUAAACAUUGCCCAUUUGAUGUUGCUUUUCCGUUGAGGGAAGGCAGUGUCGGAGCGAAGGUGUUAAAUGGGCCGCUUGGGAAGUAUGGUCGCAAGACUGAAACUUAAAGGAAUUGGCGGGGGAGCACCGCAACGGGAGGAAUGUGCGGUUUAAUUGGAUUCAACGCCGGAAAACUCACCGGGAACGACCUGUGCAUGAGAGUCAACCUGACGAGCUUACUCGAUAGCAGGAGAGGUGGUGCAUGGCCGUCGUCAGCUCGUACCGUAGGGCGUUCACUUAAGUGUGAUAACGAGCGAGACCCACAUCUUUAAUUGCAAAUGUAUAUGAGAAUAUGCAUGCACUUUAGAGAAACCGCCAGCGCUAAGCUGGAGGAAGGAGUGGUCGACGGCAGGUCAGUACGCCCCGAAUUUCCCGGGCUACACGCGCAUUACAAAGAACGGGACAAUACGUUGCAACCUCGAAAGAGGAAGCUAAUCGCGAAACCCGUCCAUAGUUAGGAUUGAGGGCUGUAACUCGCCCUCAUGAAUCUGGAUUCCGUAGUAAUCGCGGGUCAACAACCCGCGGUGAACAUGCCCCUGCUCCUUGCACACACCGC